AGUGAACGCUGGCGGUAGGCCUAACACAUGCAAGUCGAACGGCAGCACGGUAAGAGCUUGCUCUUACGGGUGGCGAGUGGCGGACGGGUGAGGAAUACAUCGGAAUCUACUUUUUCGUGGGGGAUAACGUAGGGAAACUUACGCUAAUACCGCAUACGACCUACGGGUGAAAGCAGGGGAUCUUCGGACCUUGCGCGAUUGAAUGAGCCGAUGUCGGAUUAGCUAGUUGGCGGGGUAAAGGCCCUCCAAGGCGACGAUCCGUAGCUGGUCUGAGAGGAUGAUCAGCCACACUGGAACUGAGACACGGUCCAGACUCCUACGGGAGGCAGCAGUGGGGAAUAUUGGACAAUGGGCGCAAGCCUGAUCCAGCCAUACCGCGUGGGUGAAGAAGGCCUUCGGGCUGUAAAGCCCUUUUGUUGGGAAAGAAAAGCAGCAGGUUAAUACCCCGCUGUUCUGACGGUACCCAAAGAAUAAGCACCGGCUAACUUCGUG
This 492-nucleotide ribosomal RNA is filed under the name uncultured bacterium. Its description in RNAcentral is "partial 16S ribosomal RNA". It matches the Rfam family "Bacterial small subunit ribosomal RNA", at positions 29 to 507 of the family's 1533-position model. The record is from RNAcentral.